Molecule: ribosomal RNA, 2929 nt
Filed under: Salmonella enterica subsp. enterica serovar Saintpaul
Lineage: Bacteria; Pseudomonadati; Pseudomonadota; Gammaproteobacteria; Enterobacterales; Enterobacteriaceae
Description: 23S ribosomal RNA
Rfam family: Bacterial large subunit ribosomal RNA
Source: RNAcentral
GGGUUGUGAGGUUAAGCGACUAAGCGUACACGGUGGAUGCCCUGGCAGUCAGAGGCGAUGAAGGGCGUGCUAAUCUGCGAUAAGCGCCGGUAAGGUGAUAUGAACCGUUAUAACCGGCGAUACCCGAAUGGGGAAACCCAGUGUGAUUCGUCACACUAUCAUUAACUGAAUCCAUAGGUUAAUGAGGCGAACCGGGGGAACUGAAACAUCUAAGUACCCCGAGGAAAAGAAAUCAACCGAGAUUCCCCCAGUAGCGGCGAGCGAACGGGGAGGAGCCCAGAGCCUGAAUCAGCAUGUGUGUUAGUGGAAGCGUCUGGAAAGGCGCGCGAUACAGGGUGACAGCCCCGUACACAAAAGCGCAUGUGCUGUGAGCUCGAUGAGUAGGGCGGGACACGUGGUAUCCUGUCUGAAUAUGGGGGGACCAUCCUCCAAGGCUAAAUACUCCUGACUGACCGAUAGUGAACCAGUACCGUGAGGGAAAGGCGAAAAGAACCCCGGCGAGGGGAGUGAAAAAGAACCUGAAACCGUGUACGUACAAGCAGUGGGAGCACAGGUUUACCUGUGUGACUGCGUACCUUUUGUAUAAUGGGUCAGCGACUUAUAUUCUGUAGCAAGGUUAACCGUAUAGGGGAGCCGGAGGGAAACCGAGUCUUAACCGGGCGUUAAGUUGCAGGGUAUAGACCCGAAACCCGGUGAUCUAGCCAUGGGCAGGUUGAAGGUUGGGUAACACUAACUGGAGGACCGAACCGACUAAUGUUGAAAAAUUAGCGGAUGACCUGUGGCUGGGGGUGAAAGGCCAAUCAAACCGGGAGAUAGCUGGUUCUCCCCGAAAGCUAUUUAGGUAGCGCCUCGUGAAUUCAUCUCCGGGGGUAGAGCACUGUUUCGGCUAGGGGGCCAUCCCGGCUUACCAACCCGAUGCAAACUGCGAAUACCGGAGAAUGUUAUCACGGGAGACACACGGCGGGUGCUAACGUCCGUCGUGAAGAGGGAAACAACCCAGACCGCCAGCUAAGGUCCCAAAGUCAUGGUUAAGUGGGAAACGAUGUGGGAAGGCCCAGACAGCCAGGAUGUUGGCUUAGAAGCAGCCAUCAUUUAAAGAAAGCGUAAUAGCUCACUGGUCGAGUCGGCCUGCGCGGAAGAUGUAACGGGGCUAAACCAUGCACCGAAGCUGCGGCAGCGACGCUGAUGCGUUGUUGGGUAGGGGAGCGUUCUGUAAGCCUGCGAAGGUGGCCUGUGAGGGUUGCUGGAGGUAUCAGAAGUGCGAAUGCUGACAUAAGUAACGAUAAAGCGGGUGAAAAGCCCGCUCGCCGGAAGACCAAGGGUUCCUGUCCAACGUUAAUCGGGGCAGGGUGAGUCGACCCCUAAGGCGAGGCCGAAAGGCGUAGUCGAUGGGAAACGGGUUAAUAUUCCCGUACUUGGUGUUACUGCGAAGGGGGGACGGAGAAGGCUAUGUUGGCCGGGCGACGGUUGUCCCGGUUUAAGCGUGUAGGUGUGUGUUCCAGGUAAAUCCGGUUCACUUUAACACUGAGGCGUGACGACGAGGCACUACGGUGCUGAAGCAACAAAUGCCCUGCUUCCAGGAAAAGCCUCUAAGCAUCAGGUAACAUCAAAUCGUACCCCAAACCGACACAGGUGGUCAGGUAGAGAAUACCAAGGCGCUUGAGAGAACUCGGGUGAAGGAACUAGGCAAAAUGGUGCCGUAACUUCGGGAGAAGGCACGCUGACAUGUAGGUGAAGUGAUUUACUCAUGGAGCUGAAGUCAGUCGAAGAUACCAGCUGGCUGCAACUGUUUAUUAAAAACACAGCACUGUGCAAACACGAAAGUGGACGUAUACGGUGUGACGCCUGCCCGGUGCCGGAAGGUUAAUUGAUGGGGUCAGCGCAAGCGAAGCUCCUGAUCGAAGCCCCGGUAAACGGCGGCCGUAACUAUAACGGUCCUAAGGUAGCGAAAUUCCUUGUCGGGUAAGUUCCGACCUGCACGAAUGGCGUAAUGAUGGCCAGGCUGUCUCCACCCGAGACUCAGUGAAAUUGAACUCGCUGUGAAGAUGCAGUGUACCCGCGGCAAGACGGAAAGACCCCGUGAACCUUUACUAUAGCUUGACACUGAACAUUGAGCCUUGAUGUGUAGGAUAGGUGGGAGGCUUUGAAGUGUGGACGCCAGUCUGCAUGGAGCCGACCUUGAAAUACCACCCUUUAAUGUUUGAUGUUCUAACGUGGACCCGUUACCCGGGUUGCGGACAGUGUCUGGUGGGUAGUUUGACUGGGGCGGUCUCCUCCUAAAGAGUAACGGAGGAGCACGAAGGUUGGCUAAUCCUGGUCGGACAUCAGGAGGUUAGUGCAAUGGCAUAAGCCAGCUUGACUGCGAGCGUGACGGCGCGAGCAGGUGCGAAAGCAGGUCAUAGUGAUCCGGUGGUUCUGAAUGGAAGGGCCAUCGCUCAACGGAUAAAAGGUACUCCGGGGAUAACAGGCUGAUACCGCCCAAGAGUUCAUAUCGACGGCGGUGUUUGGCACCUCGAUGUCGGCUCAUCACAUCCUGGGGCUGAAGUAGGUCCCAAGGGUAUGGCUGUUCGCCAUUUAAAGUGGUACGCGAGCUGGGUUUAGAACGUCGUGAGACAGUUCGGUCCCUAUCUGCCGUGGGCGCUGGAGAACUGAGGGGGGCUGCUCCUAGUACGAGAGGACCGGAGUGGACGCAUCACUGGUGUUCGGGUUGUCAUGCCAAUGGCACUGCCCGGUAGCUAAAUGCGGAAGAGAUAAGUGCUGAAAGCAUCUAAGCACGAAACUUGCCCCGAGAUGAGUUCUCCCUGAGACUUAGAGUCUCCUGAAGGAACGUUGAAGACGACGACGUUGAUAGGCCGGGUGUGUAAGCGCAGCGAUGCGUUGAGCUAACCGGUACUAAUGAACCGUGAGGCUUAACCUUACAACGCCGAAG